UGUGUGGAGAAUGAAUGGACUGGGGGGGGAGGGAGGUUGAGAUUUUUUGUACUGUAGUUUCAAAUUGAAAUUGUUCCAGUAUAUUUUCUAUCUGUAUAAUUGUAUUUAUGGUUGAAAGGGGAUUUUUUAUUCCUGUGAAAUGCAACAUCUUUAAAGCACUAGGGACAUCAGCACUUUCUGAGUUUUCCACUUAUGGUCUGUACAGAUUGGUUAUGUAGUAUGUGAAGUGAAUUUGGUGCUUUUAACCCUAUAGCAGAAAACUUCUAUUGUCAUUGAUAUGUUAGUUUCUUGUGAGCCUUAAAUUAUUAAAUAUUGUAGAUACACUUCUUUAUAAAUAACUUUAUUAAUUACCUUGCUGUUUCAGAAUUUCUAAAUAAUUUAGUCCUGUGCUUCCUGUCCCCACUCAGAAAAAAAAUGUAUGCGCAGUUUGUGGGUUUUGUAGUUUUACAGGUUUAUAUCUAUCUUCAUUAGAUUUUUGAGACCCAAAGAGAAAGAAAUACUGUCUGCUGUUACUGGUUUUGAUCCAAGUGCACAACAGAGUAAAAACAUAAGGGAGUGGAUAGAUGCGAAAAGAGGGUAGAGUAUGAGUGCAAUAUCUACAAAACUAUUUUCAGUGUACACUCCAGAUUAUUUUGGCAUGUGUGUCAGUUACCUUUAUUCAUCCAUACCAUUUGUGUACACAGUUCACUGGUUUUAAUUAUCAUAGACUGGAAAUGGAUGGCACUUGAAAGAGUCUAACAUGGCAUGCCGUGCUCUUAAAUAACCAUUGCGUGGCUUAUAUCUUGGACUUGGAUGGAAAGCAUCACCUUUCAUCAAAACACAUCCUUGUUUUCUUUUUAUUUCCAAACAAAACCUUUUCAGUGCUGUGGAUUUUACAGUUAAGAUAUUGUUGAAAGACAAAUGACAGCUUACCUUCAUCAUCAUAACGCAGCACUGUACAGCUUACUAGUGAAGACCGACACAAAGUUGCUUCUUUAACUCAAAAAGCUGUGUUAUUGUUUUUCUUGCAAAGGACUCUGUUUUCCCCUGAAACUUCUGUUUUAUUACUGAAGGAUGUUUCAUGCCUUCACCACAUGCAGUGGCAGAGCAAGACUAGCAGAAAGAGAAGUCUUGAUUGUCAACGCUCAAGAGUGACCUGGAGCUUGUGCAGUAACGGUGUUCUCCAGAUGGCUUUCCACAGCAUCGUCUUCCUUAACACCAGUGAGCCACGAGACUGAGACAGAAAUUCCAGUGUGGGGAGGGUGUGAGUCAUGAGAUGAUCCUGACCAUCAGGAAGAAACUGACUCAGAGACUGAAACUGAACCCAUUUGUUCUUUGUUCUCAAGCCGUCUUGGGUUAGAAGUUGCUGAAAAAUUUUCUCCUGCAAAAUUAACUGUGAAGUCCCCAUUAAGCAUAUGUCUUAGUGAGCUGGAUUUCAUCAUUCAGAUUGUUGAAAAUCUGUUCUGCUUGGAGUUUUCUUUUGUAGAGGAACUGUUCAGCACUACAAAAGGAGUGUGCAGGGGUCCCUUGAAAGUUUGAAUGCUUUGAACUCACUCACAAGCACAAGAAGACUUUACUGCUUGAGAUUUUAUUUGGAAAUACAUGAGUUCUUGUCAUAGAUUGAGCAUCAUCUACCAUGGUUCUUACAUA
Long non-coding RNA from Melopsittacus undulatus (budgerigar), 1629 nucleotides. RefSeq lists it as uncharacterized. The record is from RefSeq and is a predicted model, not a curated record. Lineage: Eukaryota; Metazoa; Chordata; Aves; Psittaciformes; Psittaculidae. The transcript is spliced from 3 exons.